AAGCAUAGGAAAGAGCAGGGACCGAGGCGGAGCAGGCCUAGCUGAGGACCACCACAGCAGAGUAGACGGGACCGAAGAUCCCUACGGCGAGGCAGACGACCACCACAGCAGA
Long non-coding RNA from Sinocyclocheilus anshuiensis, 112 nucleotides. RefSeq lists it as uncharacterized. The transcript has 4 exons. The record is from RefSeq and is a predicted model, not a curated record. NCBI's taxonomy places the organism in Eukaryota, Metazoa, Chordata, Actinopteri, Cypriniformes, Cyprinidae.